RNAcentral lists this ribosomal RNA (796 nucleotides) under uncultured bacterium. RNAcentral's name for it is "bacterial SSU rRNA". It matches the Rfam family "Bacterial small subunit ribosomal RNA", at positions 8 to 796 of the family's 1533-position model. The record is from RNAcentral.
AGAGUUUGAUCCUGGCUCAGAUUGAACGCUGGCGGAAUGCUUUACACAUGCAAGUCGAACGGCAGCACGGGAGCUUGCUCCUGGUGGCGAGUGGCGAACGGGUGAGUAAUACGUCGGAACGUAUCCAUGUAAUGGGGGAUAACGCAGCGAAAGCUGUGCUAAUACCGCAUACGCCCUACGGGGGAAAGCAGGGGAUCUUCGGACCUUGCGUUAUUGGAGCGGCCGACGUCUGAUUAGCUAGUUGGUGGGGUAAAGGCCUACCAAGGCGACGAUCAGUAGCUGGUCUGAGAGGAUGAUCAGCCACACUGGAACUGAGACACGGUCCAGACUCCUACGGGAGGCAGCAGUGGGGAAUUUUGGACAAUGGGGGCAACCCUGAUCCAGCCAUUCCGCGUGAGUGAAGAAGGCCUUCGGGUUGUAAAGCUCUUUCAGCAGGGAAGAAACGAUCUUGGCUAAUACCUGAGAUUAAUGACGGUACCUGAAGAAGAAGCACCGGCUAACUACGUGCCAGCAGCCGCGGUAAUACGUAGGGUGCGAGCGUUAAUCGGAAUUACUGGGCGUAAAGCGUGCGCAGGCGGUUUUUCAAGUCUGAUGUGAAAUCCCCGGGCUUAACCUGGGAACUGCGUUGGAAACUGAAAGACUAGAGUGCGGCAGAGGGGGGUAGAAUUCCACGUGUAGCAGUGAAAUGCGUAGAUAUGUGGAGGAAUACCGAUGGCGAAGGCAGCCCCCUGGGUCGACACUGACGCUCAUGCACGAAAGCGUGGGUAGCAAACAGGAUUAGAUACCCUGGUAGUCG